This is a long non-coding RNA of Alexandromys fortis (reed vole), 2120 nucleotides long. RefSeq lists it as uncharacterized. NCBI's taxonomy places the organism in Eukaryota, Metazoa, Chordata, Mammalia, Rodentia, Cricetidae. The transcript has 4 exons. The record is from RefSeq and is a predicted model, not a curated record.
GCCAUCAUCAGACAGACAGGUCACCAGAGCAUGGCUAUGGAGAUGUGAAGUAACGAUGGAGACCUCAAAGUCAAAACAUGUGAUGUGUCUGUCACAUGCCCACUCAGGCAAAAGCAUGUGCCGUGUUAUUCCAUGUUUUUAUAAAGAAACCACAAUGACAUUCACUUUUAUUUCCCAUAUUUCUCAAGCUUACAUUUUGAAGAGAGAUGAGUAAAAUUAUAGGUCCAAUAAUCCCAGAACACAUUAAGUUCUUUUGUAUCUAAAUGUUAUGUACAUCUAACAUCUGAUAUGGCAUCUGAUUAUGGAUGUUUACUUCUUGCUCUUGCAGAGGACCCGGGUUCAGUUCCCAGCACCCACUCGGGGCAGCUCACAACCUGUAACUCCAGCUCUGGUCUCUACAGGUGUCUUCAUUUACCUACACACAAGACUGACAGUGGAUCUUAAAAAAAAAAUACUCGCUAGGCAGGGCAGAGGUGGUGCACACCUUUAAUCCCAGCACUCAGAAGGCAGAGGCAGAUCUCUGUGAGUUCGAGGCCAGCCUGGUCUACAGGGAGUUCCAGGAUGGCUAGGGCUAUAUUGAAAACCCUCUCUUAAAAACUAAAAUAAAAAUAAAAUAAUGAUAAUAAUAAUAAUACUUAAAGGUGCCUGCCUAUUAAUAAUGACUUUUUUCCUUUUCUUUUUUAAACCCCAACAAACACACAACUUGAUGGUCAAGAUGACAUCCUCAAUCUGGAGUUAAGGUCACCCUGGCACAUCCGUUCAUAUACCUCCCUGGCCUUCACCCAUUCACGUCUCUGCUUCCCCAGGGUAGGUAGAGCUAACAUGUGACCCUGCCCUACUCAGGACAUGUGUGCACACACAGAAUCUUUCCCCCUGUGGCAGUAUCUCACUAUGAAGUCCCAGUGCUCACUACGUAGCCCAGACUGGCUUUAGACUUCGGGGACCCUCUUUCCUCUGACUCCCAAGUGUUAAGAUUACAGGAAUGUGAACCACACCCAGCUUCUUUCCAAUGUUUUGGUGUUUGAUUCUGUAAGACAGGGUCUCCUGUAGGGUGCAGGCUGGCCCUGAACUCCUCCUGGCCAGAACCCUCUCAGUGCUGGGGAAGGUUCCCAGUGCUGGGGAAGGUUCUCAGUGCUGGGGAAGGCUCUCAGUGCUGGGGAAGGUUCUCAGUGCUGGGGAAGGUUCUCAGUGCUGGGGAAGGUUCUCAGUGCUGGGGAAGGCUCUCAGUGCUGGGGAAGGUUCUCAGUGCUGGGGAAGGUUCUCAGUGCUGGGGAAGGUUCUCAGUGCUGGGGAAGGUUCUCAGUGCUGGGGAAGGUUCUCAGUGCUGGGGAAGGUUCUCAGUGCUGGGGAAGGUUCUCAGUGCUGGGGAAGGUUCUCAGUGCUGGGGAAGGUUCUCAGUGCUGGGGAAGGUUCUCAGUGCUGGGGAAGGCUCUCAGUGCUGGGGAAGGCUCUCAGUGCUGGGGAAGGCUCUCAGUGCUGGGGAAGGUUCUCAGUGCUGCGUGCUCCUUAUGCAAGUGCUGUCCCCGCUGAGCCACAUCACACACAGAGCAAAUAGCAGCACCAUUCCAGGCCAAAGGCGGAGAUGCGUACACUGCCGUUACCCACAACCCAAAUGCUCAUCAGUGGUUCAAGGGAGGAUUUGGACAUGCCUGGCUUGCUUAUUCGUGUAACAGAGUGGUCCACACAGACGACUUAGAAAGUGACCAGCUCCAUUUUCUUCCCUGAAAUCAAAGUGCUAACAGCCCGUGCCCACGAUGUGCCUUUAAGUCUAGAACACUCUAUCUGAACAGGCCCUGCAAUGAUGUGAUGGGCACAGCGUGGGAGGCGUCCCCCAGAGGACAUUAGGGUGGCUCCUUGCCUAGUGGUGCAUCUGGAGAGCACUAGAGUGCACGGUGCAGCCGCAGGGGCAAGCACACACGCGCUGGCUGGGGCCGCCAUUCUGCUCAGCUCCUUCCCCUGAACAUGAGGCCAGCUCAGCAGAGCAGUAUUUUAGCGUCUCUGCUCAGGGGCCCAAGAGAAGUGUGACUACACAAGAAUCAACCUGGGUGAGACCAUGGCCGUGUCCCUACUGUGUAAAUGAUGGGCCACCGAAGAUCUGGACCGUCGUGUUCAUAACUCAA